GUGUCAGCAGCCGCGGUAAGACAGAGGGUGCAAACGUUGUUCGGAUUUACUGGGCGUAAAGCGCGUGUAGGCGGCCUUGCAAGUUGGAUGUGAAAGCCCACGGCUCAACCGUGGAAGCGCAUCCAAAACUGCAUCGCUCGAGUCUCGGAGAGGAAGGUGGAAUGCUUGGUGUAGAGGUGAAAUUCGUAGAUAUCAAGCAGAACACCUGCGGCGAAGGCGGCCUUCUGGACGAUGACUGACGCUGAGACGCGAAAGCGUGGGGAGCAAACAGGAUUAGAAACCCGCGUAGUCC
This 292-nucleotide ribosomal RNA is filed under the name uncultured bacterium. RNAcentral describes it as "partial 16S ribosomal RNA". It matches the Rfam family "Bacterial small subunit ribosomal RNA", at positions 505 to 796 of the family's 1533-position model. The record is from RNAcentral.